Molecule: ribosomal RNA, 505 nt
Filed under: uncultured bacterium
Lineage: Bacteria
Description: bacterial SSU rRNA
Rfam family: Bacterial small subunit ribosomal RNA
Source: RNAcentral
GGCAGCAGUGGGGAAUCUUAGACAAUGGGGGAAACCCUGAUCUAGCCAUGCCGCGUGAGCGAUGAAGGCCUUAGGGUUGUAAAGCUCUUUCAGUGGGGAAGAUAAUGACGGUACCCACAGAAGAAGCCCCGGCUAACUCCGUGCCAGCAGCCGCGGUAAUACGGAGGGGGCUAGCGUUGUUCGGAAUUACUGGGCGUAAAGCGCGCGUAGGCGGGCUGGAAAGUUGGGGGUGAAAUCCCGGGGCUCAACCCCGGAACUGCCUCCAAAACUAUCAGCCUUGAGUUCGAGAGAGGUGAGUGGAAUUCCGAGUGUAGAGGUGAAAUUCGUAGAUAUUCGGAGGAACACCAGUGGCGAAGGCGGCUCACUGGCUCGAUACUGACGCUGAGGUGCGAAAGUGUGGGGAGCAAACAGGAUUAGAUACCCUGGUAGUCCACACCGUAAAAGAUGAAUGCCAGACGUCGGCAAGCNUGCUGUCGGUGUCACACCUAACGSAUUAAGCAUCCGC